Molecule: non-coding RNA, 109 nt
Organism: Acanthosepion pharaonis
Lineage: Eukaryota; Metazoa; Mollusca; Cephalopoda; Sepiida; Sepiidae
Source: the annotation of a GenBank genome assembly
AUGGCUAUAUCACAUUGAAAACACCUGUUCUUGUCUGAUCACUGAAGUUAAGCAGCAUUGUGUCUCAUUGGUACUUAGGUGGGAGAUGGCUGAAGAAUACAAAGUGCCA